AGAGAGAGAGGCAGGCUGGGUCCGCCUGGCAGCCUACGGGAGGAGGCGGGAGCCGGGAAGGAGGGGAGCCUAGGCCCGGCGUGGGGAGGCCGGCAGGAAGGGCCUCGAGCCCAGUGCGGACCUUUCUUCAGCCUCUGUGCGACCGAGCCGCGCGCCAGGCUCCUGUGCGAGGAGGACGCGCUGACUCCCUCCGACCUGGGCUCCGAUGGAGCAGAAAUAGCGGGACCUGGACUUGUGGCGCGCCUGGUGCCACAUCUCGGGCUCUGCGAGCGUCCUGGCGCGGGAUCCUGCCUAAUGUCUUACAAUAACAGAAUGCAGGAGAGCACAUAUCAAUGAAGAAAAGACAAAAUGUACUUAUCCAUGAAGCUGAGGUUAAGAAACCAGUGUCUUCAAGAGCCAGGGACAGCACUGGGUCUGUGCAGAGUUGAGAGAUGGUGAUGACAUGUGACAGAGCUCCUUGCUGCUCAAAUUUUAUGCCAGAUAAAAUAUUCACCUUCUCGGACUCCCUGGCACCAGGCAUGGCCAUGUAAUCCUACAGCACAGCUGAUGAAAGAGAAGACAUCUUGCUGCUAUUUGACAAGCAAGAAGAUAAAAGCUUUCCUAUAAAGAUGAUGGAGCAAAAAAAUAGAAGGGGCCUAGACUCCCUACCUUCACACUUCCUGCUAUAAAAGCAUUGCUAUUAUAAGGUUAAUCUGCAGAAACAGACUUCUAUGUCAUAUGCUUAAAUGCAUCAAAAUUCAUACAAUAUCCAUUAAAUUGGUAAAAGUAUCCAUUUUAAAGGAUUAAUCUGAGGGACCCACAGACACUUAACACAAUCAAAUCUCAGAAAAAAAAUCAGUUAUUUCAUUGUGAUUUUGAGGCUGAUCUUUUAUGAUCUUUUAGUUAUCAAACUGUUAAAUACAUUUUAACUUUCAAAUUUUAUGAAUAAAGGAGAUGAAUCCUGUUAUUUUCUC
Molecule: long non-coding RNA, 953 nt
Organism: Homo sapiens (human)
Lineage: Eukaryota; Metazoa; Chordata; Mammalia; Primates; Hominidae
Gene: MAGI2-AS3
Product: MAGI2 antisense RNA 3
Source: Ensembl